UUUGGUAUAUUACGUUAGGCAUACACGUGCAGUCACUACACAUGUCCAAUCUGCAGCAAGUCAUUGGGAGAUAUGGCGGUUUACUUUGGUAUGCUUGAUGCCCUAUUGGCUGCUGAGGAGCUUCCUGAAGAGUACAGGGAACGCUGUCAGGACAUACUCUGCCAUGACUGCGAUCGGAAGGGCUCUUCACGCUUCCACUGGUUGUACCACAAAUGUGAAUUUUGUGGCUCUUAAAAUACCCGGGUUAUCAAGUGUGAGACGUCAAACUCCAGCUGCUCUUAGUAUGCUUCUUUUGAUGGGAGGUAGAUAGUUUGUAAAUACUUUAUAGCAAAAUAGGAAUUCAAAUUUUGCCACAACUAGGAGCCCUCUUAUUUUUUUCGUCGUAUAUAUAAUGCGGACGCAUGACGAAAUUUAGUGACCUCUUUAUUAGUAUAACAGAAGCCCCUAAUCAGUUCUAUAGCAUUGUGUACAGAUCAAAUUUCUUCCUACUUUUUAGUUUCUGCAAGGAUAUUGUUGCUGUCCAUAUUCAUUUCUUUAUCUUCGUUUAAGUGCACCCUGACUUCACCGCGAUCACGCUGAGUAAUUUUCUCCAAAUUCCCAGCUACGUCGCUAGAGGUGCUUCUGAC
Vigna umbellata (rice bean) is the source of this 626-nucleotide non-coding RNA. The record is from RefSeq and is a predicted model, not a curated record. Lineage: Eukaryota; Viridiplantae; Streptophyta; Magnoliopsida; Fabales; Fabaceae.